CACGACUACGAGUUUGAUCCUGGCUCAGGAUGAACGCUAGCGGCAGGCUUAACACAUGCAAGUCGAGGGGUAUUGGUUUUCGGACCAAGAGACCGGCGCACGGGUGCGUAACGCGUAUGCAAUCUACCUUUGCAGAGGGAUAGCCCAGAGAAAUUUGGAUUAAUACCUCAUAGUAUAGUACUUUGGCAUCAAGGAACUAUUAAAGUCACAACGGUAUAAGAUGAGCAUGCGUCCCAUUAGUUAGUUGGUAAGGUAACGGCUUACCAAGACAAUGAUGGGUAGGGGUCCUGAGAGGGAGAUCCCCCACACUGGUACUGAGACACGGACCAGACUCCUACGGGAGGCAGCAGUGAGGAAUAUUGGUCAAUGGGCGCAAGCCUGAACCAGCCAUGCCGCGUGCAGGAAGACGGUCCUAUGGAUUGUAAACUGCUUUUAUACAGGAAGAAACCCUCCCACGUGUGGGAGCUUGACGGUACUGUAGGAAUAAGGAUCGGCUAACUCCGUG
RNAcentral lists this ribosomal RNA (505 nucleotides) under uncultured bacterium. RNAcentral's name for it is "bacterial SSU rRNA". It matches the Rfam family "Bacterial small subunit ribosomal RNA", at positions 1 to 507 of the family's 1533-position model. The record is from RNAcentral.